Oryza meridionalis is the source of this 203-nucleotide non-coding RNA. The record is from Rfam. Lineage: Eukaryota; Viridiplantae; Streptophyta; Magnoliopsida; Poales; Poaceae.
UUUAAGUACGACUAUAAGUUUCCGUGUCGAAUUUUAACUGUCCGUCUUAUUUGAAAUGUUUUUAUAAUUAGUAUUUUUAUUGUUAUGAGAUGAUAAAAUAUGAAUAGUACUUAUGCUUGACUUAUUUUUUAAUUUUUUUAAAAAAAAAAUUAAAUAAGAUGAACGAUUAAAUUUGGACACGGAAAAUUAUGUCUGCACUUAAA